GAUGAACGCUGGCGGUGUGCCUAAUACAUGCAAGUCGAGCGAACAGACGAUGAGCUUGCUCCUCUGACGUUAGCGGCGGACGGGUGAGUAACACGUAGAUAACCUACCUAUAAGACUGGGAUAACUUCGGGAAACCGGAGAUAAUACCGGAUAAUAUAUUGUACCGCAUGGAUCAAUAGUGCUAGACGGUUUUGCUGUCACUUAUAGAUGGAUCCGCGUCGCAUUAGCUAGUUGGUAAGGUAACGGCUUACCAAGGCAACGAUGCGUAGCCGACCUGAGAGGGUGAUCGGCCACACUGGAACUGAGACACGGUCCAGACUCCUACGGGAGGCAGCAGUAGGGAAUCUUCCGCAAUGGGCGAAAGCCUGACGGAGCAACGCCGCGUGAGUGAUGAAGGUCUUCGGAUCGUAAAACUCUGUUAUUAGGGAAGAACAAAUGUGUAAGUAAAUAUGCACGUCUUGACGGUACCUAAUCAGAAAGCCACGGCUAACUACGUG
This 497-nucleotide ribosomal RNA is filed under the name uncultured bacterium. Its description in RNAcentral is "partial 16S ribosomal RNA". It matches the Rfam family "Bacterial small subunit ribosomal RNA", at positions 28 to 507 of the family's 1533-position model. The record is from RNAcentral.